This 498-nucleotide ribosomal RNA is filed under the name uncultured bacterium. Its description in RNAcentral is "partial 16S ribosomal RNA". It matches the Rfam family "Bacterial small subunit ribosomal RNA", at positions 30 to 523 of the family's 1533-position model. The record is from RNAcentral.
AUUGAACGCUGGCGGCAUGCCUUACACAUGCAAGUCGAACGGUAACAGGUCUUCGGGUGCUGACGAGUGGCGAACGGGUGAGUAAUACAUCGGAAUGUGCCUAGUAGUGGGGGAUAACUACUCGAAAGAGUGGCUAAUACCGCAUGAGAUCUACGGAUGAAAGCAGGGGAUCGCAAGACCUUGUGCUACUAGAGCGGCCGAUGGCAGAUUAGGUAGUUGGUGGGAUAAAAGCUUACCGAGCCGACGAUCUGUAGCUGGUCUGAGAGGACGAUCAGCCACACUGGGACUGAGACACGGCCCAGACUCCUACGGGAGGCAGCAGUGGGGAAUUUUGGACAAUGGGCGAAAGCCUGAUCCAGCAAUGCCGCGUGCAGGAUGAAGGCCUUCGGGUUGUAAACUGCUUUUGUACGGAACGAAAAGCCCCGGGUUAAUACCCUGGGGUCAUGACGGUACCGUAAGAAUAAGCACCGGCUAACUACGUGCCAGCCGCCGCGGUAA